RNAcentral lists this ribosomal RNA (253 nucleotides) under uncultured bacterium. RNAcentral's name for it is "partial 16S ribosomal RNA". It matches the Rfam family "Bacterial small subunit ribosomal RNA", at positions 524 to 776 of the family's 1533-position model. The record is from RNAcentral.
UACAGAGGUCCCAAGCGUUGUUCGGAUUCACUGGGCGUAAAGGGUGCGUAGGUGGUUGGGUAAGUUUGAUGUGAAAUCUCCGGGCUUAACCCGGAAACUGCAUUGAAUACUAUUUGACUAGAGGGUUGGAGGGGGGACUGGAAUACUUGGUGUAGCAGUGAAAUGCGUAGAUAUCAAGUGGAACACCAGUGGCGAAGGCGAGUCCCUGGACAACUCCUGACACUGAGGCACGAAAGCUAGGGGAGCAAACAGG